Molecule: ribosomal RNA, 1313 nt
Filed under: uncultured bacterium
Lineage: Bacteria
Description: bacterial SSU rRNA
Rfam family: Bacterial small subunit ribosomal RNA
Source: RNAcentral
ACGAGUGGCGAACGGGUGAGUAAGACAUCGGAACGUAUCCGCUCGUGGGGGACAACUUCCCGAAAGGGGAGCUAAUACCGCAUGAGAUCCGAGGAUGAAAGAGGGGGACCCGCGAGGGCCUCUCGCGAGCGGAGCGGCCGAUGACUGAUUAGCUAGUUGGUAAGGUAACGGCUUACCAAGGCGAUGAUGCAUAGCCGAGUUGAGAGACUGAUCGGCCACAAUGGAACUGAGACACGGUCCAUACUCCUACGGGAGGCAGCAGUAGGGAAUCUUCCACAAUGGGCGCAAGCCUGAUGGAGCAACACCGCGUGAGUGAAGAAGGGUUUCGGCUCGUAAAGCUCUGUUGUUGGAGAAGAACGUGCGUGAGAGUAACUGUUCACGCAGUGACGGUAUCCAACCAGAAAGUCACGGCUAACUACGUGCCAGCAGCCGCGGUAAUACGUAGGUGGCAAGCGUUAUCCGGAUUUAUUGGGCGUAAAGCGAGCGCAGGCGGUUGCUUAGGUCUGAUGUGAAAGCCUUCGGCUUAACCGAAGAAGUGCAUCGGAAACCGGGCGACUUGAGUGCAGAAGAGGACAGUGGAACUCCAUGUGUAGCGGUGGAAUGCGUAGAUAUAUGGAAGAACACCAGUGGCGAAGGCGGCUGUCCGGUCUGCAACUGACGCUGAGGCUCGAAAGCAUGGGUAGCGAACAGGAUUAGAUACCCUGGUAGUCCAUGCCGUAAACGAUGAGUGCUAGGUGUUGGAGGGUUUCCGCCCUUCAGUGCCGGAGCUAACGCAUUAAGCACUCCGCCUGGGGAGUACGACCGCAAGGUUGAAACUCAAAGGAAUUGACGGGGGCCCGCACAAGCGGUGGAGCAUGUGGUUUAAUUCGAAGCUACGCGAAGAACCUUACCAGGUCUUGACAUCUUGCGCUAACCUUAGAGAUAAGGCGUUCCCUUCGGGGACGCAAUGACAGGUGGUGCAUGGUCGUCGUCAGCUCGUGUCGUGAGAUGUUGGGUUAAGUCCCGCAACGAGCGCAACCCUUGUUACUAGUUGCCAGCAUUAAGUUGGGCACUCUAGUGAGACUGCCGGUGACAAACCGGAGGAAGGUGGGGACGACGUCAGAUCAUCAUGCCCCUUAUGACCUGGGCUACACACGUGCUACAAUGGACGGUACAACGAGUCGCAAGCUCGCGAGAGUAAGCUAAUCUCUUAAAGCCGUUCUCAGUUCGGACUGUAGGCUGCAACUCGCAAACACGAAGUCGGAAUCGCUAGUAAUCGCGGAUCAGCAUGCCGCGGUGAAUACGUUCCCGGGCCUUGCACUCAACGCCCGUCA